RNAcentral lists this small nuclear RNA (104 nucleotides) under Mustela putorius furo (domestic ferret). Lineage: Eukaryota; Metazoa; Chordata; Mammalia; Carnivora; Mustelidae. The record is from RNAcentral.
GUGCUCACUUCAGCAGCACAUAUACAAAAACUGGAAUGAUACAGAGAUUAGCAUGGCCCGUGCACAAGGAUGACAUGCAAAUUCAUGAAGCGUUCCAUAUAUUU